This 46-nucleotide transfer RNA is filed under the name Alyxia ruscifolia. RNAcentral describes it as "partial tRNA-Phe". Lineage: Eukaryota; Viridiplantae; Streptophyta; Magnoliopsida; Gentianales; Apocynaceae. The record is from RNAcentral. RNAcentral also lists the same sequence under 2 other names.
CCGGGAUAGCUCAGCUGGUAGAGCAGAGGACUGAAAAUCCUCGUGU